Molecule: transfer RNA, 96 nt
Filed under: Methanomassiliicoccales archaeon RumEn M1
Lineage: Archaea; Methanobacteriati; Thermoplasmatota; Thermoplasmata; Methanomassiliicoccales
Rfam family: tRNA
About the family: Transfer RNA (tRNA) molecules are approximately 80 nucleotides in length. Their secondary structure includes four short double-helical elements and three loops (D, anti-codon, and T loops).
Source: Rfam by way of RNAcentral
GGGCCCGUAGCUUAGUCUGGUGGAGCGUCAGGCUCAUAGGGACCUCCUAGGUUCUGAGACACCCGAUGGUCGCCGGUUCAAAUCCGGUCGGGCCCA